Molecule: unclassified non-coding RNA, 376 nt
Filed under: uncultured bacterium
Lineage: Bacteria
Description: contains 16S-23S intergenic spacer region
Source: RNAcentral
UCCGAGUUGACCCCGGCAGUCUCCUAUGAGUCCCCACCAUUACGUGCUGGCAACAUAGAACGAGGGUUGCGCUCGUUGCGGGACUUAACCCAACAUCUCACGACACGAGCUGACGACAGCCAUGCACCACCUGUAUAGAGCCCGUAAGGACCUCACAUCUCUGUGAGUUUUCCCUAUAUGUCAAACCCAGGUAAGGUUCUUCGCGUUGCAUCGAAUUAAUCAACAUGCUCCACCGCUUGUGCGGGCCCCCGUCAAUUCCUUUGAGUUUCAGCCUUGCGGCCGUACUCCCCAGGCGGGACACUUACUGCGUUAGCGACGACACCGGGAGGGUCGCUCCCCCCGACGUCUAGUGUCCAUCGUUUACGGCGUGGACUAC